UACGUAGGGUGUGAGCGUUGUCCGGAAUUAUUGGGCGUAAAGGGCUCGUAGGCGGUCUGUCGCGUCGGGAGUGAAAACUCAGGGCUUAACCCUGAGCCUGCUUCCGAUACGGGCAGACUAGAGGUAUGCAGGGGAGAACGGAAUUCCUGGUGUAGCGGUGGAAUGCGCAGAUAUCAGGAGGAACACCGGUGGCGAAGGCGGUUCUCUGGGCAUUACCUGACGCUGAGGAGCGAAAGUGUGGGGAGCGAACAGG
RNAcentral lists this ribosomal RNA (253 nucleotides) under uncultured bacterium. Its description in RNAcentral is "partial 16S ribosomal RNA". It matches the Rfam family "Bacterial small subunit ribosomal RNA", at positions 524 to 776 of the family's 1533-position model. The record is from RNAcentral.